This 551-nucleotide long non-coding RNA is filed under the name Salmo salar (Atlantic salmon). Its description in RNAcentral is "lncRNA (ENSSSAG00000100344.1)". Lineage: Eukaryota; Metazoa; Chordata; Actinopteri; Salmoniformes; Salmonidae. The record is from RNAcentral.
GAGACAGAUGGAUGAAGCCUAAAGCGGGGAGGGGAAAACAUUGGAGUUGUUCUGCAUGACAUCUCAUUCACAAUGUAUCAGAGGUGGCGAAUCGCAUCUCUGCAUGUCUGGCAGACAUAUCAGUGUGGAUGAUGGGUCACCACCUCAAGCUGAACCUCGGCAAGACGGAGCUGCUCUUCCUCCCGGGGUAGGACUGCCCUUUCCAUGAUCUCGCCAUCACGGUGGACAACUCCAUUGUGUCCUCCUCCCAGAGUGCUAAGAGCCUCGGCGUGACCCUGGACAACAGCCUGUCGUUCUCCGCUAACAUCAAGGCGGUGCCCCGAUCCUGUAGGUUCAUGCUAUACAACAUUCGCUGAGUACGACCCUGCCUUACACAGGAAGCGGAGCAGGUCCUAAUCCAGGCACUUGUCAUCUCCCGUCUGGAUUACUGCAACUCACUGUUGGUGGGGCUCCCUGCCUGUGCCAUUAUACCCCUACAACUCAUCCAGAACGCCGCAGCCCGUCUGGUGUUCAACCUUCCCAAGUUCUCUCAUGUCACCCCGCUCCUCCGC